GACGAACGCUGGCGGCGUGCCUAAUACAUGCAAGUCGAGCGGACGAAUCGAAAGCUUGCUUUUGAUUCGUUAGCGGCGGACGGGUGAGUAACACGUGGGCAACCUGCCCUGUAGACGGGGAUAACACCGAGAAAUCGGUGCUAAUACCGGAUAACACGAAAUGUCGCAUGACGUUUCGUUGAAAGACGGCGCAAGCUGCCGCUACAGGAUGGGCCCGCGGCGCAUUAGCUAGUUGGUGAGGUAACGGCUCACCAAGGCGACGAUACGUAGCCGACCUGAGAGGGUGAUCGGCCACACUGGGACUGAGACACGGCCCAGACUCCUACGGGAGGCAGCAGUAGGGAAUCUUCCGCAAUGGACGAAAGUCUGACGGAGCAACGCCGCGUGAGCGAAGAAGGCCUUCGGGUCGUAAAGCUCUGUUGUUAGGGAAGAACAAGUAACGCAGUAACUGGCGUUACCGUGACGGUACCUAACGAGAAAGCCACGGCUAACUACAUG
RNAcentral lists this ribosomal RNA (498 nucleotides) under uncultured bacterium. RNAcentral describes it as "partial 16S ribosomal RNA". It matches the Rfam family "Bacterial small subunit ribosomal RNA", at positions 28 to 507 of the family's 1533-position model. The record is from RNAcentral.